Molecule: ribosomal RNA, 419 nt
Filed under: Lutjanus quinquelineatus (five-lined snapper)
Lineage: Eukaryota; Metazoa; Chordata; Actinopteri; Lutjaniformes; Lutjanidae
Description: partial 16S ribosomal RNA
Rfam family: Bacterial large subunit ribosomal RNA
Source: RNAcentral
CCGUGCGAAGGUAGCGCAAUCACUUGUCUUUUAAAUGGAGACCUGUAUGAAUGGCAUAACGAGGGCUUAGCUGUCUCCUUUUUCAAGUCAAUGAAAUUGAUCUCCCCGUGCAGAAGCGGGGAUACGUACAUAAGACGAGAAGACCCUAUGGAGCUUUAGACACCAAGGCAGACCAUGUUAAACACCCCAAAACAAAGGGCCAAACCAAAUGACCCCUGCCCUAAUGUCUUUGGUUGGGGCGACCGCGGGGAAACACAAAACCCCCACGUGGAACGAGAGUACUCCCUCUCACAACCAAGAGCUUCCGCUCUAAUAAACAGAAAUUCUGACCAAUAAGAUCCGGCAAAGCCGAUCAACGGACCGAGUUACCCUAGGGAUAACAGCGCAAUCCCCUUUUAGAGGCCAUAUCGACAAGGGGG